This 480-nucleotide ribosomal RNA is filed under the name uncultured Saprospiraceae bacterium. RNAcentral describes it as "bacterial SSU rRNA". It matches the Rfam family "Bacterial small subunit ribosomal RNA", at positions 28 to 505 of the family's 1533-position model. Lineage: Bacteria; Pseudomonadati; Bacteroidota; Saprospiria; Saprospirales; Saprospiraceae. The record is from RNAcentral.
GAUGAACGCUAGCGGGAGGCUUAAUACAUGCAAGUCGAGGGGUAACAGGUACUUCGGUAUGCUGACGACCGGCGCACGGGUGAGUAACGCGUACACAACCUACCUCAUAGAGGGGGAUAGCCUCUGGAAACGGAGAGUAAUACCCCGUAGUAUUGGAUGAAGGCAUCUUUGUCCAUUUAAAGCUCCGGUGCUAUGAGAUGGGUGUGCGUACUAUUAGGUAGUUGGCGGGGUAACGGCCCACCAAGCCGACGAUAGUUAGGGGGCGUGAGAGCGUGGCCCCCCACACGGGUACUGAGACACGGACCCGACUCCUACGGGAGGCAGCAGUAAGGAAUAUUGGACAAUGGAGGCAACUCUGAUCCAGCCAUCCCGCGUGCAGGAUGACGGCCCUACGGGUUGUAAACUGCUUUUAUAGGAGAAGAAUCCCCCCAACGUGUUGGGGGUUGACGGUAUCCUACGAAUAAGCACCGGCUAACUCCG